Molecule: ribosomal RNA, 426 nt
Filed under: Ixodes scapularis (black-legged tick)
Lineage: Eukaryota; Metazoa; Arthropoda; Arachnida; Ixodida; Ixodidae
Description: partial 12S ribosomal RNA
Source: RNAcentral
UAAAAAAUUUUGGCGGUAUUUUAAGCUUAUUAGAGGAAUUUGCUCUGUGAUGGACACAACGCCUUAAUCUUACUUAAUUUAGUAAUUUAAAUCAGUUUGUAUACCACUAUAUUAAUUAUAUUGAAUAGUUAUAUUUAAAAUUUUUUUAAAAAAAUAUAUUAAGUCAAGGUGCAUCUAAUAAUUAUGAAUGAAGUGAAUUACAUUAAUUUUAAUGUAAUUUUUUUCAUGAAAAAAUUAAUUAGGAUUUAAUAGUAAAAUACUAAUAUUAUGAGUAUUUGAAUCAAGCUCUAAAAUAUGCACAUAUCGCCCGUCGCUCUCAGAAGUGAGAUAAGUCGUAACAAAGUAAAAAUACUGGAAAGUGUUUUUUAAAAUGAAAUCCUUUGAUGUUUCAUUUACAAUGAAAAUUUUGUUGUUUAACCAUUUUAA